Pseudophryne corroboree (corroboree frog) is the source of this 978-nucleotide long non-coding RNA. RefSeq lists it as uncharacterized. The transcript has 3 exons. The record is from RefSeq and is a predicted model, not a curated record. Lineage: Eukaryota; Metazoa; Chordata; Amphibia; Anura; Myobatrachidae.
CAGACAGAAAUCCUGAAAACAUGACCUGUUGAUAGUACUUAAGGACUGGAGGUCCAAGAGGUUGGCACAAAGAUGAAGAAAGGGGCGCACACUGUGCAGGAGUGGAAUUUAAAGGCUACAGGCGAUCCAUGACUCCAAAUCAGGGAUUUCGGGGCCUUCUGUUUUAUGGCACAACACUGGAGUAAUGCAGUUGGGACAAGUUCUUAGCAUGCCGUUUGACGCAGAUUACAACAGAUGACCUGAAUUCAGCAUCCUAACAGAUCGCACAAGGCCAACACUCCAGCGCAGUUGGAUCACUAGAGCUCCAAUCUGUGCAGAACUACUGUACCCCCAUCACUGGAAUCUCUUACAAACAAAUCAACUGCAGGCAGACAAGUCCAUUGUUUGCCUCCUUCGUGGCUACAGCUACCUACACAUCUUUCAGUUAAAUAUCUCCAUCUCCAACCACAACAAAACACUGAAAGCCAGUUGCUUCAAAGGCCCUACACAUUAGCCGAUAAUCCUCAUAGAUAUGAACGAUCUCGUUCAUUAUUGAAUGAGAUACCGUUCAUAUCUUUGAGUGUGGAGUCACCAGCAAUGAACGAUGCACGGCCCGCGCUCGUUCAUCGCUGGUGGCCCGUCGGCUGUGCAUGCAGGCCAAUAUGGACGAUCUCGUCCAUAUUUGCCUGCACUUGUAUGGAGCUGUGUGAUGCAGGGAGUGAAGAAACUUCACUCCCCCCCCGUCACUGCCCCCCAUCCGCCGGGUCGCCCAUCUGCCGUAUCGGCAGUCGGGCAGCUUGGCGGCGUAUCGCCGUGUCUGUAGGGCCCUUUAAAGUGGAGGCUGGUAAUGCUUCUGUUCUUCAGUAGCCAGAUACACUUAUCCCAGCAACAAUAUCUUCGAUUGUAAACUCAUUUGAGCCGGACGAUAUCUAUUCCGUGUUAUUAGACAUACUGUAAGUUGUUUGUAUCAUGACAGCCCAAUGCACAGAGCUAAAUAAU